RNAcentral lists this long non-coding RNA (882 nucleotides) under Sparus aurata (gilthead seabream). Its description in RNAcentral is "lncRNA (ENSSAUG00010009679.1)". The record is from RNAcentral. Lineage: Eukaryota; Metazoa; Chordata; Actinopteri; Spariformes; Sparidae.
GCCCUGAGCUCCCGGAGCCCUGGUGCUCCAUCUGAGAGCAGCCCGCUGGUCCUCCUGCCUCCUCCCCCCCCCCGCCGAUAUCCAAACUCAGUCCGUCAGUCGGGAGGAUGGAAAAGAGAAAAAAAAAAAAAGAUGAGAGAGGAAUGUGACGUAGAAGUUUUAAUUACCGGGAAAAGUAAAGUUAUAUAGGACCAAGCGGCUUCCCGUGCGUCUGCGUCCCCCCCAGCCGCUGGACACGCUCUGCGGUGUCAGGUACCGGAGUUCAGGCGCACCGGGGAGAGGGAGAGCCGCGUCAAGCCAGCCGGAGACAGCACCGGAGAUACUCGGCUUUUACCUUCACAUUAAGACAGCCCAAUCCCGGAAGCUACACUCUACAAUCUACUGUCGCCUUGAUAAAUACUCAUAAUAAUUUGAUAAACAUCUGUUAGCUUACCUCAUCGGCUAACCUAAGUCACGUAAUACUGCAAACAAUUUUCGCAACACUUUAAGCUAGUUUUAGAAACUGCCAAGAUUUUCUAGCUAACGUUCCUCAAUUAAUGAUAUGUUAUACAUCUCUAUUCUUGCCUUUUUUUUUUCUAAAUCUCAGCUUUCAUCAAAUUAGUAUUAAUGAGAAAACAUAGCAAUUUAGUAACUUUUAAGAACAAAUAAGAAAGGUCUCUCUUAAAAAAAAUGGCUGCCGGAAACAAAACCGUUAGGAGGAGCAGAGGACAGGACUUUGUUUCCUUGGCAACCAAGAAAUUAGCUGCGGAGGCUACUCAACCACAGCAAUGUCUGUCACCCCCCAAAAAACAACGAUUUGUCGGUGUCACUCGACUGUGGAACCGCCCCAUGUUACAGGCUAAUGGACAUGGAAGUACUAAUGGCCCAUACUGUGAUUUAUAA